UCUUGCUCCAAGACACUUGACAGCACUCUUCCUUCCCUGGACGGCGGCAGCAGGGCCGAGUGAAGUGGUAACACCCGGGCAGCGGCAACGCCUGGGUGGGCCGGGUGGACAGGAGGGAGUAGCAAACAGAGGAGGGGAAGAACGGCCGCUGAGUUGGAAAGACAAAGUAAAACGAAAUUUUAGGAGCUCGCUGUCCAGAACAGGGAAGACAGAAGACAGAAAGCAGAUUAGCGAUUGCUCAGAACUGGGGUUGUAGGGGAAGGAAGAAUUGGAAGAUGACAGCCCUGUGAGGCUUAAUCCUUUUAGAGAAACAUAUUUUUAAGCAACUUGGAUAGAGCAUAUUACUGUGUGAUACGUCAUCUUGUCAGCUUGCGUGCCGCUCACUUUUGAUCUGUUUGAAAUGCUUGCCUGGGGCCAUCUGUGGGAAAUCGUCUAGUCUGACCCAUCCUGUCCCCAUCUCUACACCAGUGGUUUUGAGCACUUUGGGGUCAUGUGUCCCAUUGAUACUAUGAUAAAAGGACAUUGCUGCCAUGUGACAAGCCCCGCUGAUGCCAUUGAGGAUGUGAGGCCACGUGGAAGGAGAUCCCAGCCAUCCAGCCCAAAUUGCCCACUCACAGCAUUGUCGUGUUAGGACCUUGUGCGUUUCCACUUGCUCUGCCUGGCUGGAAUCUCUGCACCCCGGGGAGACCGUAUUGAACCCCAUGAUGGCAUCGCUGAGACUGGGCGCCUGUUUUUCCUCCCAAGAAGCCACAGUGCCGUAAUUAACUCACUGUUCACAUUUCAGAGCAGGCAGGGUUUUAAUCCCCUCGGAAAUUGGUUUCGGACAUGGAAGUUAUAGUUCUCCACCCUCUAAUUGCAAAGGGGAGAUAAUAGGGCAUCAGUAUCGCCAUUUCGAU
Lagenorhynchus albirostris (white-beaked dolphin) is the source of this 896-nucleotide long non-coding RNA. RefSeq lists it as uncharacterized. NCBI's taxonomy places the organism in Eukaryota, Metazoa, Chordata, Mammalia, Artiodactyla, Delphinidae. The record is from RefSeq and is a predicted model, not a curated record. The transcript has 6 exons.